This 253-nucleotide ribosomal RNA is filed under the name uncultured bacterium. RNAcentral describes it as "partial 16S ribosomal RNA". It matches the Rfam family "Bacterial small subunit ribosomal RNA", at positions 524 to 776 of the family's 1533-position model. The record is from RNAcentral.
UACGGAGGGUGCAAGCGUUGUUCGGAAUUAUUGGGCGUAAAGGGCGUGUAGGUGGCUCGCCAAGUCUGGUGUGAAAGCCCACGGCUCAACCGUGGAACUGCAUUGGAAACUGGCGAGCUCGAGUAUUGGAGGGGGUCGCGGAAUUCCCGGUGUAGAGGUGAAAUUCGUAGAUAUCGGGAGGAACACCAGUGGCGAAGGCGGCGAUCUGGGAAGAUACUGACGCUGAGGUGCGAAAGCGUGGGGAGCAAACAGG